GUAGGUGGCAAGCGUUAUCCGGAAUUAUUGGGGCGUAAAGCGCGCGCAGGCGGUUUCUUAAGGUCUGAUGUGAAAGCCCACGGGCUCAACCGUGGAGGGUCAUUGGAAACUGGGGAACUUGAGUGCAGAAGAGAAAAGCGGAAUUCCACGUGUAGCGGUGAAAUGCGUAGAGAUGUGGAGGAACACCAGUGGCGAAGGCGGCUUUUUGGUCUGUAACUGACGCUGAGGCGCGAAAGCGUGGGGAGCAAACAGGAUUAGAUACCCUGGUAGUCCACGCCGUAAACGAUGAGUGCUAAGUGUUAGAGGGUUUCCGCCCUUUAGUGCUGCAGCUAACGCAUUAAGCACUCCGCCUGGGGAGUACGGUCGCAAAGACUG
This 375-nucleotide ribosomal RNA is filed under the name uncultured organism. Its description in RNAcentral is "partial 16S ribosomal RNA". It matches the Rfam family "Bacterial small subunit ribosomal RNA", at positions 527 to 896 of the family's 1533-position model. The record is from RNAcentral.